This 506-nucleotide ribosomal RNA is filed under the name uncultured bacterium. Its description in RNAcentral is "partial 16S ribosomal RNA". It matches the Rfam family "Bacterial small subunit ribosomal RNA", at positions 30 to 523 of the family's 1533-position model. The record is from RNAcentral.
AUUGAACGCUGGCGGCAGGCCUAACACAUGCAAGUCGAACGGUAACAGAAAGCAGCUUGCUGCUUUGCUGACGAGUGGCGGACGGGUGAGUAAUGUCUGGGAAACUGCCUGAUGGAGGGGGAUAACUACUGGAAACGGUAGCUAAUACCGCAUAACGUCGCAAGACCAAAGAGGGGGACCUUCGGGCCUCUUGCCAUCGGAUGUGCCCAGAUGGGAUGAGUUAGUAGGUGGGGUAAUGGCUCACCUAGGCGACGAUCCCUAGCUGGUCUGAGAGGAUGACCAGCCACACUGGAACUGAGACCAGGUCCAGACUCCUACGGGAGGCAGCAGUGGGGAAUAUUGCACAAUGGGCGCAAGCCUGAUGCAGCCAUGCCGCGUGUAUGAAGAAGGCCUUCGGGUUGUAAAGUACUUUCAGCGAGGAGGAAGGUGUUGUGGUUAAUAACCACAGCAAUUGACGUUACUCGCAGAAGAAGCACCGGCUAACUCCGUGCCAGCCGCCGCGGUAA